RNAcentral lists this ribosomal RNA (605 nucleotides) under Cortinarius salor. RNAcentral's name for it is "eukaryotic LSU rRNA". The stretch from base 256 to 409 matches the Rfam family "5.8S ribosomal RNA". Lineage: Eukaryota; Fungi; Basidiomycota; Agaricomycetes; Agaricales; Cortinariaceae. The record is from RNAcentral.
GAUCAUUAUUGAAGUAAACCUGAUGAGUUGCUGCUGGUUCUCUAGGGAACAUGUGCACACUUGUCAUUUUUAUAUUUCCACCUGUGCACUUUUUGUAGACUUGGAUAUCUUUCUGAAUGCUUUUUGUAGCAUGUCAGGUUUGAGGAUUGACUUUAUUGUCUGUCUUUACAUUUCCAGGUCUAUGUACCUUCAAUAUACCCCUAAUGUAUGUUAUAGAAUGUAGUAAGUGGGCCUUUGUGCCUAUAAACCUUAUACAACUUUCAGCAACGGAUCUCUUGGCUCUCGCAUCGAUGAAGAACGCAGCGAAAUGCGAUAAGUAAUGUGAAUUGCAGAAUUCAGUGAAUCAUCGAAUCUUUGAACGCACCUUGCGCUCCUUGGUAUUCCGAGGAGCAUGCCUGUUUGAGUGUCAUUAAUAUAUCAACUUCUUCAGCUUUUGCUUGUUGAGUGUUGGAUGUGGGGGUUUUGCUGGCCUUUCUGAAGGUCAGCUCCCCUGAAAUGCAUUAGCGGAACAAUUUGUUGACUGUUCAUUGGUGUGAUAAUUAUCUGCGCUAUUGAACUGUGAGGCAAGUUCAGCUUCUAAUAGUCCAUUGACUUGGACAAAUUUU